This 498-nucleotide ribosomal RNA is filed under the name uncultured Glomeromycotina. RNAcentral describes it as "partial small subunit ribosomal RNA". It matches the Rfam family "Eukaryotic small subunit ribosomal RNA", at positions 591 to 1092 of the family's 1831-position model. Lineage: Eukaryota; Fungi; Glomeromycota. The record is from RNAcentral.
CCAAUAGCGUAUAUUAAAGUUGUUGCAGUUAAAAAGCUCGUAGUUGAAUUUCGGGAUCAGUACGCCGGUCGUGCCUUCGGUAUGUACUGGUGUCACUGAUUCCUACCUUCUGAAGAACCGUUAUGCCAUUCAUUUGGUGUGACGGGGAAUCAGGACUGUUACUUUGAAAAAAUUAGAGUGUUUAAAGCAGGCUCGCGCUUGAAUACAUUAGCAUGGAAUAAUGAAAUAGGACGUUUGAUCUUAUUUUGUUGGUUUCUAGGAUCGACGUAAUGAUUAAUAGGGAUAGUUGGGGGCAUUAGUAUUCAAUUGUCAGAGGUGAAAUUCUUGGAUUUAUUGAAGACUAACUACUGCGAAAGCAUUUGCCAAGGAUGUUUUCAUUAAUCAAGAACGAAAGUUAGGGGAUCGAAGACGAUCAGAUACCGUCGUAGUCUUAACCAUAAACUAUGCCGACUAGGGAUCGGAUGAUGUUAUUUUUAAUGACUCAUUCGGCGCCUUACG